CUACGGGGUGCUGCAGUGGGGAAUAUUGCACAGUGGAGGAAACUCUGAUGCAGCAACGCCGCGUGGAGGAUGACACUUUUCGGAGCGUAAACUCCUUUUAUAUAGGAAGAAGAUGACGGUACUAUAUGAAUAAGCGCCGGCUAACUCCGUGCCAGCAGCCGCGGUAAUACGGAGGGCGCAAGCGUUACUCGGAAUCACUGGGCGUAAAGAGCGUGUAGGCGGAUUAAAAAGUCAGAAGUGUAAUCCUAUAGCUUAACUAUAGAACUGCUUCUGAAACUCUUAAUCUAGAAUAUGGGAGAGGUAGAUGGAAUUUCUGGUGUAGGGGUAAAAUCCGUAGAGAUCAGAAGGAAUACCGAUUGCGAAGGCGAUCUACUAGAACAUUAUUGACGCUGAGACGCGAAAGCGUGGGGAGCAAACAGGAUUAGAUACCCCUGUAGUC
Molecule: ribosomal RNA, 439 nt
Filed under: uncultured bacterium
Lineage: Bacteria
Description: partial 16S ribosomal RNA
Rfam family: Bacterial small subunit ribosomal RNA
Source: RNAcentral